This 460-nucleotide ribosomal RNA is filed under the name uncultured bacterium. Its description in RNAcentral is "partial 16S ribosomal RNA". It matches the Rfam family "Bacterial small subunit ribosomal RNA", at positions 338 to 795 of the family's 1533-position model. The record is from RNAcentral.
CCUACGGGUGGCAGCAGUGAGGAAUAUUGGUCAAUGGGUGCGAGCCUGAACCAGCCAAGUAGCGUGAAGGAUGACGGUCCUAUGGGUUGUAAACCUCUUUUGUCGGGGAGUAACAGGCCCAACGUGUGGGGUUUCGCGUGUACCCGAUGAAAAAGGACCGGCUAAUUCCGUGCCAGCAGCCGCGGUAAUACGGAGGGUUCGAGCGUUAUCCGGAUUUAUUGGGUUUAAAGGGAGCGUAGGCGGUAUAUUAAGUUUGCGGUGAAAGUUAGGGGCUCAACCCGAACAUUGCCGUGGGAAAUGGCUGGCUUGAGUACAUGUGAGGCAGGCGGAAUUCGUCGUGUAGCGGUGAAAUGCACAGAGAGCACGAAGAACGCCGAUUGCGAAGGCAGCUUGCUGAAGCGGAACUGACACUGAAGCUCGAAAGCGUGGGUAUCGAACAGGAUUAGAUACCCGGGUAGUC